UCUAAUAUGGCAGAUUAGUGCAAUGGAUUUAAACCCCAAAUAUAAAGAAACUCUUUUUUUAGAA
RNAcentral lists this transfer RNA (64 nucleotides) under Staphylinidae sp. BMNH 1274665. RNAcentral describes it as "tRNA-Leu". The record is from RNAcentral. Lineage: Eukaryota; Metazoa; Arthropoda; Insecta; Coleoptera; Staphylinidae.